This 1013-nucleotide long non-coding RNA is filed under the name Sorghum bicolor (sorghum). RNAcentral's name for it is "long non-coding RNA (SBIC_LNC010675)". The record is from RNAcentral. Lineage: Eukaryota; Viridiplantae; Streptophyta; Magnoliopsida; Poales; Poaceae.
GAGUACUUUAAUCUAUAGGACGCUAUAGGUGAGAGUUGUAGUAUAGGUGUAAGUAUGGUGCUUAGACCUAGAUUACUUGUGGAUAUCCCCUGUUAGCCGGAUCGUGUGGUAGGCCGCAUAGGUGACAGUUACGUUGGUCCCCUUUAGUCCACCUCCUAUUAGCAGGAUGGGUAGGGUUUAUCGGCCUAUGGAUAAGCAUCCUUUGUGGUGUAUUCUUAUCACGUGAUUCGUCCGAGACAUAGACAUACCCCUUUGAAGUAGAGAAACCAUAGUUAUCCUCUCUAUACUCCUACCAUCGCCCAUAUACUAGAUUGCUCUACUCUCUAUUCCCUUAUUAUCACCCAUUGUUAUCUUACCUUUAAUAUUGUUCUUAUUCAAUUCUACCAUCUUUCCUAUUUACACCUAUCUAUCUAUCUAGGUUAAGUUAGAGCGUAGUUGGUUCUCCCGUUUCCCUGUGGAUACGAUAAAACCUUUAACCGGGUAAAAGCUACAACGGUAUCCGUGCGCUUGCGGAUUUAUCUGUGUGCGUAUAAAUACCAUAGUACACUCUAGUGCCAUGCUGGGGAUGACAACCUAUUAUUGAAGUGGUGUUAGCAAGUGUCAACAAGCAUUUUUGGCGCCGUUGCCGGGGAGACGGUUGCUGAGUUGACUACGAACUAGCUUAAUCAUUUUCUGAACAAUAUAUAAAAAAAAUAAAAAAAUAUACUUUUCCUUUUAUCUUUUGCCUUAUCUCUGCUAUUCUUUCUUCUUAUCUAAUACUUGAUCUCUGGUCUAUCAUAAAUUCAAACAUGUCUAUCUAUGAAUUUCAUAGACCUACGGGCACACAUCUCGAACCACCUAAAUCUUCAAAGCCUAUCAUAGCAUCUAGUUUUGAGAUAGACCCCGAAUACAUAGAAUUUGGUCAAAAACAACCUUUCUCAAGAGAAGGUGAGGAAAACCCAUACACACACCUAAGUGAGUUUUUUCGAGUCUGUGACCUCCUUCACAUAGAAGACAUGUCCGAUGAGACCCUU